GAAUGACUUGGCAUAACUAGAUGUAAUUAACUUAUCUGCUACUUUAUGUGUGUCUUUGUAACUGAGUGACUUGGCAUAACUAGGUGUAAUUAACUUAUCUGCUACUUUAUGUGUGUCUUUGUAACUGAAUGACUUGGCAUAAGUAAGUGUAAUUAACUUACCAGCUACUUUAUCAGUGUCUUUGUAACUGAGUGACUUGGUAUAACUAGGUGUAAUUAACUUAUCUGCUACUUUAUGUGUGUCUUUGUAUCUGAGUGACUUGACAUAACUAGGUGUAAUUAACUCAUCUGCUACUUUAUCUAUGUCUUUGUAACUGAGUGACUUGGCAUAAACAGGUGUAAUUAACUUAUCUGCUACUUUAUCUGUGUCUUUGUAACUGAGUGACUUGGCAUAACUUGGUGUAAUUAACUUAUAUGCUACUUUUUGUGUGUCAUUGUAACAGAGUGACUUGGUAUAACUAGGUGUAAUUAACUUAUCUGCUACAUUUUGCGUGUCUUUGUAACUGAGUGACUCGGCAUAACUAGAAGUAAUUAACUUACCUGCUACGUUAUGUGUGUCUUUGUAACUGAGUGACUUGGCAUAACUAGUGUAAUUAACUUAUCUGCUACUUUUUGUGUGUCUUUGUAACUGAGUUACUCGGCAUAACUCGGUGUAAUUAACGUACCUGCUAAUUUAUGUGUGUCUUUGUAAGUGAGUGACUUGGCAUAACUAGGUGUAAUUAACUUAUAUGCUACUUUUUGUGUGUCAUUGUAACUGAGUGACUUGGUAUAACUAGGUGUAAUUGACUUAUCUGCCACUUUUUGUGUGUCUUUGUAUCUGAGUGACUUGGCAUAACUAGGUGUAAUUAACUUACCUGCUACUUUAUGUGUGUCUUUGUAACUGAGUGACUUGGUAUAACUAGGUGUAAUUAACUUACCAGCUACUUUAUCAGUGUCUUUGUAACUGAGUGAUUUGGCAUAACUAGGUGUAAUUAACUUACCUGCUUCUUUAUGUGUGGUUUGUAACUGAGUGACUUGGCAUAACUAGGUGUAAUUAACUUAUCUGCUACUUUAUGUGUGUCUUUGUAACUGAGUGACUUGGUAUAACUAGGUGUAAUUAACUUAUCUGCUACUUUAUGUGUGUCUUUGUAACUGAGUGACUUGGCAUAACUAGGUGUAAUUAACUUACCUGCUUCUUUAUGUGUGUCUUUGUAACUGAGUGACUUGGCAUAACUAGGUGUAAUUAACUUAUCUGCUACUUUAUCUGUGUCUUUGUAACUGAGUGACUUGGCAUAACUAGGUGUAAUUAACUUAUAUGCUACUUUUUGUGUGUCAUUGUAACUGAGUGACUUGGUAUAACUAGGUGUAAUUAACUUAUCUGCUACAUUUUGUGUGUCUUUGUA
Molecule: long non-coding RNA, 1381 nt
Organism: Saccoglossus kowalevskii
Lineage: Eukaryota; Metazoa; Hemichordata; Enteropneusta; Harrimaniidae
Source: RefSeq, a predicted model, not a curated record